RNAcentral lists this transfer RNA (72 nucleotides) under Candidatus Colivicinus equi. RNAcentral's name for it is "tRNA-Ser". It matches the Rfam family "tRNA". From Rfam's summary of the family: Transfer RNA (tRNA) molecules are approximately 80 nucleotides in length. Lineage: Bacteria; Bacillati; Bacillota; Erysipelotrichia; Erysipelotrichales; Erysipelotrichaceae. The record is from RNAcentral.
AUUAGGUAGCCAAUUGGAACAAGGCAUAAGAUUUGAAAUCUUAAAUAGAAGGUUCGAUUCCUUCCCUAGUCA